RNAcentral lists this ribosomal RNA (377 nucleotides) under Pedioplanis burchelli. Its description in RNAcentral is "partial 16S ribosomal RNA". It matches the Rfam family "Archaeal large subunit ribosomal RNA", at positions 2063 to 2639 of the family's 2987-position model. The record is from RNAcentral. Lineage: Eukaryota; Metazoa; Chordata; Lepidosauria; Squamata; Lacertidae.
ACUAGUAUGAACGGUCAAAUGAGGACUAAACUGUCUCUUACAUUCAACCAAUAAAACUGAUCUUUCAGUUAAAAAGCUGAAAUAAAACCAUAAGACGAGAAGACCCUGUGGAGCUUUAAACCAAACCCAGCCUAAAUGACCACUUGGUUUUUAGUUGGGGCGACUUCGGAGCACAAAAAACCCUCCGAUAAUAAGCCAUAUUAAGAUCAACACAUCAAAAUAUAAGCUCAACCCAGUAUUUCUAUUAAAUAUCUGAUCAACGAACCAAGUUACCCCAGGGAUAACAGCGCCAUCCCCUUCUAGAGUCCUUAUCGACAAGGGGGUUUACGACCUCGAUGUUGGAUCAGGACACCCAAAUAGUGCAGCCGCUAUUAAUG